RNAcentral lists this ribosomal RNA (253 nucleotides) under uncultured bacterium. RNAcentral's name for it is "partial 16S ribosomal RNA". It matches the Rfam family "Bacterial small subunit ribosomal RNA", at positions 524 to 776 of the family's 1533-position model. The record is from RNAcentral.
UACGAAGGGGGCUAGCGUUGUUCGGAAUUACUGGGCGUAAAGCGCGCGUAGGCGGAUAUUUAAGUCAGGGGUGAAAUCCCAGAGCUCAACUCUGGAACUGCCUUUGAUACUGGCGGUCUCGAGUCCGGGAGAGGUGAGUGGAACUGCGAGUGUAGAGGUGAAAUUCGUAGAUAUUCGCAAGAACACCAGUGGCGAAGGCGGCUCACUGGCCCGGUACUGACGCUGAGGUGCGAAAGCGUGGGGAGCAAACAGG